UGGGGAAUUUUGGACAAUGGGCGCAAGCCUGAUCCAGCCAUGCCGCGUGCGGGAAGAAGGCCUUCGGGUUGUAAACCGCUCUUGUCAGGGAAGAAAUCCUUUGAGCUAAUACCUCGGGGGGAUGAUGGUACCUGAAGAAUAAGCACCGGCUAACUACGUGCCAGCAGCCGCGGUAAUACGUAGGGUGCAAGCGUUAAUCGGAAUUACUGGGCGUAAAGCGUGCGCAGGCGGUUAUGCAAGACAGAUGUGAAAUCCCCGGGCUCAACCUGGGAACUGCAUUUGAGACUGCAGAGCUGGAGUACGGCAGAGGGGGAUGGAAUUCCGCGUGUAGCAGUGAAAUGCGUAGAUAUGCGGAGGAACACCGAUGGCGAAGGCGAUCCCCUGGGCCUGCACUGACGCUCAUGCACGAAAGCGUGGGGAGCAAACA
RNAcentral lists this ribosomal RNA (427 nucleotides) under uncultured bacterium. RNAcentral describes it as "bacterial SSU rRNA". It matches the Rfam family "Bacterial small subunit ribosomal RNA", at positions 355 to 774 of the family's 1533-position model. The record is from RNAcentral.